UCUACCAAAAAGAAAUAAACAGCCAAUCCCGCAGAAUUCCCAAGAUGACAAAAUUCUGCAAAAGUUAAACGAUAUUUACGAAAAUGUCCAAGAGACUUUUGAACUUAAUGGGAGUGAAAUAUCUAAUUUAAACCACAACGUAAAAAUGCUUCAAGACUUGGUUUCCAAUCAAAAUGAGGCGAUAUCGGCCCUUCGAACUGAUAUUAGUAAACUUAAAGGUAAUUGAUCUAUAGAAAUUUAUAAUUAUUAAUAAAGUAAUUUUAAUUUCUCAUUUAUGUGUUAAAAUUUCAGCAUGUUCUGAGAAUCAAUAUCUCAUAAUUACUGCACUACUAUCAGAAAUCAACGUUAUAUUGAAAACCCAUCUAACCCCAGGACUUGAAAAACAUAAGUAUAAAGAAUUGUUUCCAAUAAGAACACAGGAGGAACUCGAAGCUGUUGAAAAUGAAAUAAACAAUGAAAAUGUUGGAUUAAUGAUUGCGAACAUAAAAAGUAUUUUAGGCUGUGGGAAACUACAAAGUAACUUUAGGGAACUAAUUGAUAUGCCUUUACUGUUGGAGUAUAACGUAUUUGGUCUGCAAGGCCUAAAACGAUUACCUAAUUAUGAAAAGUUUACUGGCGCCAUAUAUCAUGCUGUAGGUUCGGAAUUUGCCACCAAAAAGGAAUUCUUUAAACAUUUGAGCAAGGCCGUUCGACUCGUGAAAAACCUUUACUAUAAAAACAAUUCAAGCAAAAAGAAGCAAAAUAAUGAAGAUAUCGAGGGAGAAAUAUAAACUUAUAUCGAUUUAUUGAAUUUUUAGAAUUAUAUAACAAGUUCCUACCAUAUUCUGUACCUCACUAAUUAUAUAAUAUGAACUUUAAUGUGUUUUCUUGUACAAAGAAAUUGUUUUUGAAGUAAUAAAAUUUAUAUUUUUUUAAUUUUAAA
Musca domestica (house fly) is the source of this 922-nucleotide long non-coding RNA. RefSeq lists it as uncharacterized. The record is from RefSeq and is a predicted model, not a curated record. NCBI's taxonomy places the organism in Eukaryota, Metazoa, Arthropoda, Insecta, Diptera, Muscidae. The transcript is spliced from 4 exons.